GGGUUGUGAGGUUAAGCGACUAAGCGUACACGGUGGAUGCCCUGGCAGUCAGAGGCGAUGAAGGACGUGCUAAUCUGCGAUAAGCGUCGGUAAGGUGAUAUGAACCGUUAUAACCGGCGAUUUCCGAAUGGGGAAACCCAGUGUGUUUCGACACACUAUCAUUAACUGAAUCCAUAGGUUAAUGAGGCGAACCGGGGGAACUGAAACAUCUAAGUACCCCGAGGAAAAGAAAUCAACCGAGAUUCCCCCAGUAGCGGCGAGCGAACGGGGAGCAGCCCAGAGCCUGAAUCAGUGUGUGUGUUAGUGGAAGCGUCUGGAAAGGCGCGCGAUACAGGGUGACAGCCCCGUACACAAAAAUGCACAUGCUGUGAGCUCGAUGAGUAGGGCGGGACACGUGGUAUCCUGUCUGAAUAUGGGGGGACCAUCCUCCAAGGCUAAAUACUCCUGACUGACCGAUAGUGAACCAGUACCGUGAGGGAAAGGCGAAAAGAACCCCGGCGAGGGGAGUGAAAAAGAACCUGAAACCGUGUACGUACAAGCAGUGGGAGCACGCUUAGGCGUGUGACUGCGUACCUUUUGUAUAAUGGGUCAGCGACUUAUAUUCUGUAGCAAGGUUAACCGAAUAGGGGAGCCGAAGGGAAACCGAGUCUUAACUGGGCGUUAAGUUGCAGGGUAUAGACCCGAAACCCGGUGAUCUAGCCAUGGGCAGGUUGAAGGUUGGGUAACACUAACUGGAGGACCGAACCGACUAAUGUUGAAAAAUUAGCGGAUGACUUGUGGCUGGGGGUGAAAGGCCAAUCAAACCGGGAGAUAGCUGGUUCUCCCCGAAAGCUAUUUAGGUAGCGCCUCGUGAAUUCAUCUCCGGGGGUAGAGCACUGUUUCGGCAAGGGGGUCAUCCCGACUUACCAACCCGAUGCAAACUGCGAAUACCGGAGAAUGUUAUCACGGGAGACACACGGCGGGUGCUAACGUCCGUCGUGAAGAGGGAAACAACCCAGACCGCCAGCUAAGGUCCCAAAGUCAUGGUUAAGUGGGAAACGAUGUGGGAAGGCCCAGACAGCCAGGAUGUUGGCUUAGAAGCAGCCAUCAUUUAAAGAAAGCGUAAUAGCUCACUGGUCGAGUCGGCCUGCGCGGAAGAUGUAACGGGGCUAAACCAUGCACCGAAGCUGCGGCAGCGACGCUGAUGCGUUGUUGGGUAGGGGAGCGUUCUGUAAGCCUGCGAAGGUGUGCUGUGAGGCAUGCUGGAGGUAUCAGAAGUGCGAAUGCUGACAUAAGUAACGAUAAAGCGGGUGAAAAGCCCGCUCGCCGGAAGACCAAGGGUUCCUGUCCAACGUUAAUCGGGGCAGGGUGAGUCGACCCCUAAGGCGAGGCCGAAAGGCGUAGUCGAUGGGAAACAGGUUAAUAUUCCUGUACUUGGUGUUACUGCGAAGGGGGGACGGAGAAGGCUAUGUUGGCCGGGCGACGGUUGUCCCGGUUUAAGCGUGUAGGCUGGUUUUCCAGGCAAAUCCGGAAAAUCAAGGCUGAGGCGUGAUGACGAGGCACUACGGUGCUGAAGCAACAAAUGCCCUGCUUCCAGGAAAAGCCUCUAAGCAUCAGGUAACAUCAAAUCGUACCCCAAACCGACACAGGUGGUCAGGUAGAGAAUACCAAGGCGCUUGAGAGAACUCGGGUGAAGGAACUAGGCAAAAUGGUGCCGUAACUUCGGGAGAAGGCACGCUGAUAUGUAGGUGAAGUCCCUCGCGGAUGGAGCUGAAAUCAGUCGAAGAUACCAGCUGGCUGCAACUGUUUAUUAAAAACACAGCACUGUGCAAACACGAAAGUGGACGUAUACGGUGUGACGCCUGCCCGGUGCCGGAAGGUUAAUUGAUGGGGUUAGCGCAAGCGAAGCUCUUGAUCGAAGCCCCGGUAAACGGCGGCCGUAACUAUAACGGUCCUAAGGUAGCGAAAUUCCUUGUCGGGUAAGUUCCGACCUGCACGAAUGGCGUAAUGAUGGCCAGGCUGUCUCCACCCGAGACUCAGUGAAAUUGAACUCGCUGUGAAGAUGCAGUGUACCCGCGGCAAGACGGAAAGACCCCGUGAACCUUUACUAUAGCUUGACACUGAACAUUGAGCCUUGAUGUGUAGGAUAGGUGGGAGGCUUUGAAGUGUGGACGCCAGUCUGCAUGGAGCCGACCUUGAAAUACCACCCUUUAAUGUUUGAUGUUCUAACGUUGACCCGUGAUCCGGGUUGCGGACAGUGUCUGGUGGGUAGUUUGACUGGGGCGGUCUCCUCCUAAAGAGUAACGGAGGAGCACGAAGGUUGGCUAAUCCUGGUCGGACAUCAGGAGGUUAGUGCAAUGGCAUAAGCCAGCUUGACUGCGAGCGUGACGGCGCGAGCAGGUGCGAAAGCAGGUCAUAGUGAUCCGGUGGUUCUGAAUGGAAGGGCCAUCGCUCAACGGAUAAAAGGUACUCCGGGGAUAACAGGCUGAUACCGCCCAAGAGUUCAUAUCGACGGCGGUGUUUGGCACCUCGAUGUCGGCUCAUCACAUCCUGGGGCUGAAGUAGGUCCCAAGGGUAUGGCUGUUCGCCAUUUAAAGUGGUACGCGAGCUGGGUUUAGAACGUCGUGAGACAGUUCGGUCCCUAUCUGCCGUGGGCGCUGGAGAACUGAGGGGGGCUGCUCCUAGUACGAGAGGACCGGAGUGGACGCAUCACUGGUGUUCGGGUUGUCAUGCCAAUGGCACUGCCCGGUAGCUAAAUGCGGAAGAGAUAAGUGCUGAAAGCAUCUAAGCACGAAACUUGCCCCGAGAUGAGUUCUCCCUGACCCUUUAAGGGUCCUGAAGGAACGUUGAAGACGACGACGUUGAUAGGCCGGGUGUGUAAGCGCAGCGAUGCGUUGAGCUAACCGGUACUAAUGAACCGUGAGGCUUAACCUUACAACGCCGAAG
This 2925-nucleotide ribosomal RNA is filed under the name Escherichia coli. RNAcentral's name for it is "23S ribosomal RNA". It matches the Rfam family "Bacterial large subunit ribosomal RNA". The record is from RNAcentral. Lineage: Bacteria; Pseudomonadati; Pseudomonadota; Gammaproteobacteria; Enterobacterales; Enterobacteriaceae.